GCUGUGUUCAGUCCGCCAUUGCAAACACGAAGCUCUUCCAGAAACGCCCUCACAGACACCCCGGAAGUCACGUACCCACUCUGUAGGUGCCCCGGGGCACAGGCAAGCGGACGAGCCAGUUAUCCCUCAGAGCUCCUGCUGCCUCGCCCGCUUUCUCUCGGAAACGUGAAGUGUGGCCUCAGCUGAAAGUGAGUUCCUGGAUUUGAAACUGAAGAAGCAAGCAAUCUGGAAAUGUCAGUGGAUGCACACAAAGAAACAACCGCAAAAGCCUGCUCGCUCUAGCCAAGGGACAAGAAUAGGGGCAGUCCAUCAAGACAGAAUCCUUUUAAAAAAUAACCACUCCACUCCAGCAAUACCACAGAAGAAUCUGGCUGUACCCCAGGUACAUCAGCAAAGAUAACCUUUACCUAGCAGUAAAGAGGUCCCCCUUACACUGGGAGCCCUAGUGAAGAGCAGGGACUUUCACCCCCACCUAGCAGUGAUGGGGCCCCACCCACCACAGUGCCAGCAGAGACCAUGUGGGAGCCAGAAUCCUCAUCCCUACCCAGCAGUAACAAGGAGCCCUCCUCACUGCGGGCAUCAAGGGUGAGUGAGUGCAAAACCUGGGUGUCACUCGGAAGGGAAGAAUGGUGUCUCCUUCCUUCCCAUCCCCUGCCAGAGUGAUAUCACUAGGAAAAAGAAAAUAAUUUAUCACCAGCAAAUCUACCCUACAGCUAAAACAGAGGGCUUAAGUUAGGCCCAGAAUCUCAUGACAUAAUACGAAAAUGUCCAGAAUUUAAUAGAAAAUCACUUAUUCUACUAAAAAUGGAGAGGAUCACACAAUGGGUGAAAAGACAAUCAGUGCAUGCCAUACAAAUUGACAGAGAUGUUGGAAUUAUUUGACAAAGGUUUUAAAACAGCGAUGAAAAUGCUUCAAUAAACAAUUACGAACACACUUAAACAAAGGAAAACAAAGAAAGCCUCAGCAAAGAAAUAGAAAGCCUCAGCAAGGCAAUAGAGAUAUAAAGAAAAAAAAAUGAGUAGACAUUUUAUUAUUUAUUUAUUUAUUUAUUUAUUUGAGAUGGAGUCUCCCUCUGUUGCCCAGGCUGGAGUGCAGUGGCAUGAUCUCGGCUUACUGCAGCCUCUGCCUCCCGGGUUCAAACGAUUCUCCUGCCUCAGCCUCCCGAGGAGCUGAGAUUACAGGCACCCACCACCAUGGCUGGCUAAUUUUUGUAUUUUUAGUAGAGGCGGGGUUUCACCAUGUUGGCCAGGCUGCUCUUGAACUCCUGACCUCAAGUGAUCCACCCACCUCAGCCUCCCAAAGUGCUGGGUUUACAGGCAUGCACCCCCACACCCAGCCUCAAAUAGACAUUUUAGAACUGAAAAAUAUAAUUGAAAUUUUAAAAGCACAGUGAAAUGAGCUCAACAGCAGAAUGAAAUGGACACAGGAAAGAACUGCGAAAUGGAAGAUGGAACAAUGGAAAUAAUCCAACCCGAACAACAUGGAGAAAGUAGAAGAAUAAUAAAA
This 1507-nucleotide long non-coding RNA is filed under the name Homo sapiens (human). RNAcentral's name for it is "epigenetically induced MYC interacting lncRNA 1". The record is from RNAcentral. Lineage: Eukaryota; Metazoa; Chordata; Mammalia; Primates; Hominidae.